This 404-nucleotide ribosomal RNA is filed under the name uncultured bacterium. RNAcentral describes it as "bacterial SSU rRNA". It matches the Rfam family "Bacterial small subunit ribosomal RNA", at positions 976 to 1380 of the family's 1533-position model. The record is from RNAcentral.
AGGGCUUGACAUAUAGAUGAAUAUAUAAGAGAUUAUAUAGUAUUUCGGUACAUCUAUACAGGUGGUGCAUGGUUGUCGUCAGCUCGUGUCGUGAGAUGUUAGGUUAAGUCCUGCAACGAGCGCAACCCCUGUACUUAGUUGCCAGCAUGUAAAGAUGGGAACUCUAAGUAGACUGCCGGUGAUAAAUCGGAGGAAGGUGGGGACGACGUCAAAUCAUCAUGCCCUUUAUGUCCUGGGCUACACACGUACUACAAUGGCUACAACAAAGAGAAGCGAGACGGAGACGUUAAGCGAAACCCAAAAAAGUAGUCUCAGUUCGGAUUGAAGGCUGAAAUUCGCCUUCAUGAAGCCGGAAUUGCUAGUAAUGGCAGGUCAGCAUACUGCCGUGAAUACGUUCCCGGGCC